RNAcentral lists this ribosomal RNA (273 nucleotides) under uncultured bacterium. Its description in RNAcentral is "partial 16S ribosomal RNA". It matches the Rfam family "Bacterial small subunit ribosomal RNA", at positions 28 to 300 of the family's 1533-position model. The record is from RNAcentral.
GACGAACGCUGGCGGCGUGCUUAACACAUGCAAGUCGAGCGGUAAGGCCCUUUCGGGGGUACACGAGCGGCGAACGGGUGAGUAACACGUGGGUGACCUGCCCUCAGCUCUGGGAUAAGCCUGGGAAACCGGGUCUAAUACUGGAUAUGACUCCAUGACGCAUGUUGUGGGGUGGAAAGCCUUGUGCGGCUGAGGAUGGGCCCGCGGCCUAUCAGCUUGGUUGGUGGGGGUGAUGGCCUACCAAGGCGACGACGGGUAGCCGGCCUGAGAGGG